This 250-nucleotide ribosomal RNA is filed under the name uncultured bacterium. Its description in RNAcentral is "partial 16S ribosomal RNA". It matches the Rfam family "Bacterial small subunit ribosomal RNA", at positions 355 to 618 of the family's 1533-position model. The record is from RNAcentral.
UCGAGAAUCUUCCACAAUGGGCGAAAGCCUGAUGGAGCGACAUCGCGUGACUGAUGAAGAGCUUCGGUUUGUAAAAGUCUUUUAUGAGGGAAGAAGUUUAUUGACGGUACCUCAUGAAUAAGGGGUUGCUAAACUCGUGCCAGCAGCAGCGGUAAUACGAGUACCCCGAGCGUUAUCCGGAAUUAUUGGGCGUAAAGGAUGUGUAGGUGGUCUUGUUAGUCGUGUGUCAAAUCUCAAAGCUUAACUUUGA